Molecule: ribosomal RNA, 718 nt
Filed under: uncultured bacterium
Lineage: Bacteria
Description: bacterial SSU rRNA
Rfam family: Bacterial small subunit ribosomal RNA
Source: RNAcentral
GAGUUUGAUCUUGGCUCAGGGUGAACGCUGGCGGCGUGCUUAACACAUGCAAGUCGAACGAUGAUAGAAGAGCUUGCUUUUCUUGAUUAGUGGCGCACGGGUGAGUAAUGCAUAGAUAAUGUGCCCCUUAGUUCGGGAUAGCCACUGGAAACGGUGAUUAAUACCGGAUACUCCUUCUUGUUAUAAGACAAGUCGGGAAAGUUUUUCGCUAAGGGAUCAGUCUAUGUUCCAUCAGCUUGUUGGUGAGGUAAUGGCUCACCAAGGCUAUGACGGAUAUCUGGUUUGAGAGGAUGAUCAGACACACUGGAACUGAGACACGGUCCAGACUCCUACGGGAGGCAGCAGUGAGGAAUAUUGCACAACGGAGGAAACUCUGAUGCAGCAACGCCGCGUGGAGGAUGACGCAUUUCGGUGUGUAAACUCCUUUUAUUAGGGAAGAUAAUGACGGUACCUAAUGAAUAAGCACCGGCUAACUCCGUGCCAGCAGCCGCGGUAAUACGGAGGGUGCAAGCGUUACUCGGAAUCACUGGGCGUAAAGGGUGCGUAGGCUGGCUUUUAAGUCAGAUGUGAAAUCCAAUGGCUCAACCAUUGAACUGCAUUUGAAACUGAAAGCCUAGAGUUCAGAAGGGGCAGAUGGAAUUAGUGGUGUAGGGGUAAAAUCCGUAGAUAUCACUAGGAAUAUCAAAAGCGAAGGCGAUCUGCUGGGAUGAUACUGACG